Cavia porcellus (domestic guinea pig) is the source of this 326-nucleotide long non-coding RNA. RefSeq lists it as uncharacterized. NCBI's taxonomy places the organism in Eukaryota, Metazoa, Chordata, Mammalia, Rodentia, Caviidae. The transcript is spliced from 2 exons. The record is from RefSeq and is a predicted model, not a curated record.
GUCCCAUUACCCCACUCAUCAGGUACCGCCGCCGUGUCAGGUCCUCACUGAGAGUUGCAAGAGCUGGGGAAGAGACACAAAGACAGAAGGGCUCAUUCCACAAACCGCCUGGGGCAUCGUCUUCACCUCCCAGGCCAUUCCGCAUGGAGAACAUGAUGGAUACGUCCACAGCUUCAUCCCCCUCAUUUUCUACAUCCCACACGAAGACUCCUACGGGCAGGCUGCUGUCCUGGGGGCAAAAGAGGGGACUCAGAUUAUUUCAAUAUAUCCUCUCUCGUUAUCUCCCAGACUUAGUCCUGGGUAUGAAGAACCUGUUUCAAAUACUC